RNAcentral lists this ribosomal RNA (776 nucleotides) under Gammarus parechiniformis. Its description in RNAcentral is "eukaryotic LSU rRNA". It matches the Rfam family "Eukaryotic large subunit ribosomal RNA", at positions 157 to 623 of the family's 3401-position model. The record is from RNAcentral. Lineage: Eukaryota; Metazoa; Arthropoda; Malacostraca; Amphipoda; Gammaridae.
UAAGUCAGCCACGAAUAGGCUAUCCCAACUAACGGCGGGAAAGACUCCACGGAGGGUGUAAGACCCGUGUGGGCGCGUGUUAAAGCUGUGUGGGCUCGGCCUCCAUUCCCUGAGAGUCGCGUUGCUUGAGCAUGCAGCGCUAAGCAGGUCGUAAACUCGAUCUAAGGCUAAAUAUUUCCACAGAACCGAUAGCGAACAAGUACCGUGAGGGAAAGUUGAAAAGCACUCUGGAGAGAGAGUCAAAAGACCGUGAAACCGCUCAGAGUAUAAGCCCAUGGCAGCUUGGAAGGCAUAUCGCUAGCGGGGCAUCGGUCUCCCUUCGCGGGGAGCUGGUGUUACCUUGCUUCUGUUGUGGCUCGUCAUGGUAGGGGGGUCAGGUCCACAUCCCGCCGUCGUGUGGAGAGUUCUUGGGUGUGUUGUGGUUUCUCGGUUGGCUUCGGCUUUCCGGGGGGCUCUUCGUACUUGGUUCUCUUUUAGACACGGACGUUCAGACUCAGUUGUAAGACGCGAUAACCAGCCCACCACGGCACGUUGUGAGGUCACCCACAGGCUCGACUUUCGAUCGUGAGCCUUGACGCCGAGCAAGCACAAUGCGUGUCGCAGAGGUUCCUAACCAGGCAAUGGUGCCAGGAUCGUGGAACGACACGCGCUCAACAGUCAGGUUCGGGCGGAGACAGAGUUCUGGUAUGAUCCUCUUGCGACGAGCCGGCUUCUGGCCGACAUCCGAUGCUCAGGUCUCCCGCAUGUGCCGCGGGAGAUCGCUUUGACGGUCUGGA